UGGUAUCCCGUUCGCGGUGGCGGCGGCACAUCCAUAGCUGCCGACGGCAGCAUCCCGUUCGCGGCUGCGGCGGCACAUCCGUAGCUACCGACGGCGGCAUCCCGUUCGCGGCGGCGGCGGCGCAUCCGUAGCUGCCGACGGCGGCAACCCGUUCGCGGCGGCGGCGGCGCAUCCUUGGUUCUCUGGGAAGAGCUAUCGGUUUGCCUUUCUCCCCUUCGCGGCGGCGCCUCAUCCAUUCCUCUCGACACCGCCUUUUUCCCCUUGUCCAAAUCGUCGCGGGACUUCGAUGCAUGCGUGCGUGCGUGUUCGGCCAUGGAUGAGUGAAGCUUACAAUUUCGGGAAAGUACAAGAAGAUGUUUGAGAUGGAUAUGAAGUACAAGCACACAAUUUGUUCUGGACGUUUGAUAAAUUUGUCAUGCUCUUGUCCGUUCCUGUAGUAUUGGAGGCAUUUUAUAAUGGAGUCAUUGGACUGUAAUCAAUCUUGGUGUGUUUUCCUGUAAUAUUACGUUUUCAAGCUGUGUUUUGGUAUUGGUUACUUCUGGAAUUGAAGAGAUGAGUUUAAUGACAUGGUUGCAGCUAGUUUUAUAUUUCUGUAUGUUUUAUGGUACAUGCAAUGCUUGGUGAUUUCUGGAAUUGAAGAUAUGAUGGAUGUAUUGCAAUUUGGAGUUGU
This 670-nucleotide small RNA is filed under the name Oryza sativa Japonica Group (Japanese rice). RNAcentral's name for it is "sRNA Os04g0651700". Lineage: Eukaryota; Viridiplantae; Streptophyta; Magnoliopsida; Poales; Poaceae. The record is from RNAcentral.